GUCGCUACUACCGAUUGAAUGGCUCAGUGAGGCCUUCGGACUGGCUCAAGGAGGUCGGCAACGACCACCUAGAGCCGGAAAGUUCGUCAAACUUGGUCAUUUAGAGGAAGUAA
This 113-nucleotide ribosomal RNA is filed under the name uncultured eukaryote. RNAcentral's name for it is "partial small subunit ribosomal RNA". It matches the Rfam family "Eukaryotic small subunit ribosomal RNA", at positions 1675 to 1785 of the family's 1831-position model. The record is from RNAcentral.